Molecule: ribosomal RNA, 705 nt
Filed under: Aeromicrobium sp. GWS-BW-H89M
Lineage: Bacteria; Bacillati; Actinomycetota; Actinomycetes; Propionibacteriales; Nocardioidaceae
Description: bacterial SSU rRNA
Rfam family: Bacterial small subunit ribosomal RNA
Source: RNAcentral
AUCAUGGCUCAGGACGAACGCUGGCGGCGUGCUUAACACAUGCAAGUCGAGCGGUAAGGCUCUUCGGGAGUACACGAGCGGCGAACGGGUGAGUAACACGUGAGCAAUCUGCCCUUCUCUUCGGAAUAACCAUUGGAAACGAUGGCUAAUGCCGAAUACGACCUCCCUUCGCAUGUUGGGAGGUGGAAAGCUCCGGCGGAGAAGGAUGAGCUCGCGGCCUAUCAGCUUGUUGGCGGGGUAAUGGCCCACCAAGGCGACGACGGGUAGCCGGCCUGAGAGGGUGACCGGCCACACUGGGACUGAGACACGGCCCAGACUCUACGGGAGGCAGCAGUGGGGAAUAUUGGACAAUGGGCGAAAGCCUGAUCCAGCAACGCCGCGUGAGGGAUGACGGCUUCGGGUUGUAAACCUCUUUCAGCAGGGACGAAGCGAAAGUGACGGUACCUGCAGAAGAAGGACCGGCCAAUACGUGCCAGCAGCCGCGGUAAUACGUAGGGUCCGAGCGUUGUCCGGAAUUAUUGGGCGUAAAGGGCUCGUAGGCGGUUUGUCGCGUCGGGAGUGAAAACUCAGGGCUUUCGUCUGAGCGUGCUUCCGAUACGGGCAGACUAGAGGGAUGCAGGGGAGAACGGAAUUCCUGGUGUAGCGGUGGAAUGCGCAGAUAUCAGGAGGAACACCGGUGGCGAAGGCGGUUCUCUGGCAUUACCU